This 308-nucleotide long non-coding RNA is filed under the name Setaria viridis. Its description in RNAcentral is "long non-coding RNA (SVIR_LNC004648)". The record is from RNAcentral. Lineage: Eukaryota; Viridiplantae; Streptophyta; Magnoliopsida; Poales; Poaceae.
UGGGACACUCCCGACCCCUCGAUGGUGAAACUCUGCCUCGCCCAACCCACAGUCCCAGGGUCGGAUGCACCCGACCCCUCACUGCAAGGUUCCGCCUCGCCCGACCCCGGGCGUAGGAGGUCGGACUCAUCCGGGCCCACAAGGCAAGGGUCCACCUCGGGCGCAGAUUGGCAGACAAGGACGCGGAUCUCGUGGGCCCCUCACCGAUCUUGCCAUAAAUGCGCCGCGGCUCUGGCGCACAGAAAGGCGCCCGCGCCCCUCGACGUGACCGCCACAAGUACCCGGGCAGAACACUGUAGCCACGACCG